RNAcentral lists this ribosomal RNA (301 nucleotides) under uncultured bacterium. RNAcentral's name for it is "partial 16S ribosomal RNA". It matches the Rfam family "Bacterial small subunit ribosomal RNA", at positions 509 to 807 of the family's 1533-position model. The record is from RNAcentral.
CAGCAGCCGCGGGAAUACAGAGGUCCCGAGCGUUGUUCGGAUUCACUGGGCGUAAAGGGUGUGUAGGAGGUUUGGUAAGUCAGGUGUGAAAUCCCACAGCUCAACUGUGGAACUGCAUUCGAUACUGCCGAACUAGAGGCUUGGAGGGGGAAGCGGAAUUCUUGGUGUAGCGGUGAAAUGCGUAGAUAUCAAGAGGAACACCGGUGGCGAAGGCGGCUUCCUGGACAAGUCCUGACUCUGAAACACGAAAGCCAGGGGAGCGAAUGGGAUUAGAUACCCCCGUAGUCCCUGUCUCUUAUAC